GUGUCAGCAGCCGCGGUAAUACGUAGGGGCCUAGCGUUGUCCGGAUUUAUUGGGCGUAAAGAGCUCGUAGGCGGUUUGGUUAGUCAGGUGUGAAAUCUCCACGCUCAACGUGGAGGGGCCACCUGAUACUGCCAUGACUUGAGUCCGGUAGGGGAGUGCGGAAUUCCCGGUGUAGCGGUGAAAUGCGCAGAUAUCGGGAGGAACACCCGUAGCGAAGGCGGCACUCUGGGCCGGUACUGACGCUGAGGAGCGAAAGCGUGGGGAGCAAACAGGAUUAGAUACCCCAGUAGUCC
Molecule: ribosomal RNA, 293 nt
Filed under: uncultured bacterium
Lineage: Bacteria
Description: partial 16S ribosomal RNA
Rfam family: Bacterial small subunit ribosomal RNA
Source: RNAcentral